Molecule: ribosomal RNA, 465 nt
Filed under: Vreelandella stevensii
Lineage: Bacteria; Pseudomonadati; Pseudomonadota; Gammaproteobacteria; Oceanospirillales; Halomonadaceae
Description: partial 16S ribosomal RNA
Rfam family: Bacterial small subunit ribosomal RNA
Source: RNAcentral
CCUACGGAGAGCUGCAGUGGGGAAUAUUGGACAAUGGGCGAAAGCCUGAUCCAGCCAUGCCGCGUGUGUGAAGAAGGCCUUCGGGUUGUAAAGCACUUUCAGUGGGGAAGAAAGCCUUGGGGCUAAUACCCUCGAGGAAGGACAUCACCCACAGAAGAAGCACCGGCUAACUCCGUGCCAGCAGCCGCGGUAAUACGGAGGGUGCGAGCGUUAAUCGGAAUUACUGGGCGUAAAGCGCGCGUAGGCGGUCUGAUAAGCCGGUUGUGAAAGCCCCGGGCUCAACCUGGGAACGGCAUCCGGAACUGUCAGGCUAGAGUGCAGGAGAGGAAGGUAGAAUUCCCGGUGUAGCGGUGAAAUGCGUAGAGAUCGGGAGGAAUACCAGUGGCGAAGGCGGCCUUCUGGGCUGACACUGACGCUGAGGUGCGAAAGCGUGGGUAGCAAACAGGAUUAGAUACCCUGGUAGUC